RNAcentral lists this ribosomal RNA (468 nucleotides) under uncultured bacterium. RNAcentral's name for it is "partial 16S ribosomal RNA". It matches the Rfam family "Bacterial small subunit ribosomal RNA", at positions 28 to 507 of the family's 1533-position model. The record is from RNAcentral.
GACGAACGCUGGCGGCGUGCUUAACACAUGCAAGUCGAACGGAAAGGCCCUGCUUUUGUGGGGUGCUCGAGUGGCGAACGGGUGAGUAACACGUGAGUAACCUGCCCUUGACUUUGGGAUAACUUCAGGGAACUGGGGCUAAUACCGGAUAGGAGCUCCUGCUGCAUUGUGGUGGUUGGAAAGGUUCGGCGGUUGGGGAUGGACGCGCGGCUUAUCAGCUUGUUGGUGGGGUAGUGGCGUACCACGGCUUUGACGGGUAGCCGGCCUGAGAGGGUGACCGGCAACAUUGGGACUGAGAUACGGCCCAGACGCCUACGGGAGGCAGCAGUGGGGAAUAUUGCACAGUGGGCGGAAGCCUGAUGCAGCAACGCCGCGUGCGGGAUGACGGCCUUCGGGUUGUAAACCGCUUUCGCCUGUGACGAAGCGUGAGUGACGGUAAUGGGUUAAGAAGCACCGGCUAACUACGUG